Molecule: unclassified non-coding RNA, 306 nt
Filed under: plant metagenome
Description: partial contains 5.8S ribosomal RNA, internal transcribed spacer 2, and large subunit ribosomal RNA
Rfam family: 5.8S ribosomal RNA (bases 1-105)
Source: RNAcentral
GAAAUGCGAUAAGUAAUGUGAAUUGCAGAAUUCAGUGAAUCAUCGAAUCUUUGAACGCACAUUGCGCCCGCCAGUAUUCUGGCGGGCAUGCCUGUUCGAGCGUCAUUUCAACCAUCAAGCCCCGCGCUUGUGUUGGGGACCUGCGGCUGCCGCAGGCCCUGAAAACCAGUGGCGGGCUCGCUGUCACACCGAGCGUAGUAGAUUUCUCAUCUCGCUCAGGGCGUGCUGCGGGUUCCGGCCGUAGAAAAGCCUUAUUUUACCCAAGGUUGACCUCGGAUCAGGUAGGAAGACCCGCUGAACUUAAGC